UGAAUACGAGACGCUAAGGCGUCGAAGUAGUGUAUGUCAUACUUCCAAGAAAAGCUUGCACUGUCAUAGAUAAAAAACGCCUGUACCAUAACCGACACAGGUGGGUAGGUAGAGUAUACUAAGGGGCGCGAGAUAACUCUCUCUAAGGAACUCGGCAAAAUAACUCCGUAACUUCGGGAGAAGGAGUGCCUUAUUCGUAAGGUUGCAAUAACAAGACCCAAGCAACUGUUUAUCAAAAACACAGGUCUCCGCUAAGUCGUAAGACGAUGUAUGGGGGCUGACGCCUGCCCAGUGCCAGAAGGUUAAAGAAGUUGGUUAGCAAUUGCGAAGCUGAUAACUGAAGCCCUGGUGAACGGCGGCCGUAACCAUAACGGUCCUAAGGUAGCGAAAUUCCUUGUCGGGUAAGUUCCGACCCGCACGAAAGGCGUAAUGAUUUGGAUACUGUCUCGGAGAGGGGCUCGGUGAAAUAGACUUGUCUGUGAAGAUGCGGACUACCUGCACCAGGACAGAAAGACCCUAUGAAGCUUUACUGUAACUUGAAAUUGAAAUUGGACUUUAUUCGCGCAGUAUAGGUGGGAGGCGUUGAUUAUAAUCUUGUGGGAUUAUUGGAGCCAUCAGUGAGAUACCACUCUUGUAAUGUUAGAUUUCUAACUUUGAAUCAUUAUCUGGUCAAAGAACAGUUUCAGGCGGGCAGUUUGACUGGGGCGGUCGCCUCCUAAACGGUAACGGAGGCGUACAAAGGUUUCCUCUGAACGGUUAGAAAUCGUAUCUAGAGUGUAAAGGCAUAAGGAAGCUUGACUGUGAGACCUACAAGUCGAGCAGGGACGAAAGUCGGUCUUAGUGAUCUGACGGUACUGAGUGGAAAGGCCGUCACUCAACGGAUAAAAGUUACUCUAGGGAUAACAGGCUGAUCUCCCCCAAGAGUUCACAUCGACGGGGAGGUUUGGCACCUCGAUGUCGGCUCAUCGCAUCCUGGGGCGGUAGUACGUCCCAAGGGUUGGGCUGUUCGCCCAUGAAAGCGGUACGCGAGCAGGGUUCAGAACGUCGUGAGACAGUUCGGUCCAUAUCCGGUGUAGGCGUUAGAAUAUUGAGAGGAGCCUUCUUUAGUACGAGAGGACCGAGAAGGACAUACCUCUGGUGUACCAGUUAUCGUGCCAACGGUAAACGCUGGGUAGCUAUGUAUGGAGUGGAUAACCGCUGAAAGCAUCUAAGUGGGAAGCCCACCUCAAGAUAAGUAUUCUCACC
This 1245-nucleotide ribosomal RNA is filed under the name metagenome. RNAcentral describes it as "bacterial LSU rRNA". It matches the Rfam family "Bacterial large subunit ribosomal RNA", at positions 1564 to 2818 of the family's 2925-position model. The record is from RNAcentral.